GAUGAACGCUGGCGGUAUGCUUAACACAUGCAAGUCGAACGGACUCUUCGGAGUUAGUGGCGGACGGGUGAGUAACGCGUGAGAAUCUGGCUUUGGGUUCGGGACAACCAUUGGAAACGGUGGCUAAUACCGGAUGUGCCGAGAGGUAAAAGAGAAAUUGCCUGAAGAUGAGCUCGCGUCUGAUUAGCUAGUUGGUGUGGUAAAGGCUCACCAAGGCAGCGAUCAGUAGCUGGUCUGAGAGGAUGACCAGCCACACUGGGACUGAGACACGGCCCAGACUCCUACGGGAGGCAGCAGUGGGGAAUUUUCCGCAAUGGGCGAAAGCCUGACGGAGCAAUACCGCGUGAGGGAAGAAGGCUCUUGGGUUGUAAAACUCUUUUCUUAGGGAAGAACAAAAUGACGGUACCUAAGGAAUCAGCAUCGGCUAACUCCGUG
This 435-nucleotide ribosomal RNA is filed under the name uncultured bacterium. RNAcentral describes it as "partial 16S ribosomal RNA". It matches the Rfam family "Bacterial small subunit ribosomal RNA", at positions 28 to 507 of the family's 1533-position model. The record is from RNAcentral.